This 74-nucleotide transfer RNA is filed under the name Botryobasidium botryosum FD-172 SS1. RNAcentral describes it as "tRNA-Asn (GTT) (tRNA-Asn-GTT-1-1, tRNA-Asn-GTT-1-2)". It matches the Rfam family "tRNA". From Rfam's summary of the family: Transfer RNA (tRNA) molecules are approximately 80 nucleotides in length. Their secondary structure includes four short double-helical elements and three loops (D, anti-codon, and T loops). Lineage: Eukaryota; Fungi; Basidiomycota; Agaricomycetes; Cantharellales; Botryobasidiaceae. The record is from RNAcentral.
UGCCCCAUGGCCUAAUUGGUUAAGGCGUCCGACUGUUAAUCGGGAGAUUGAGAGUUCAAGCCUCUCUGGGGCAG